AUCUAGCCGACGAGUCCCAAAUACGACGAAACGCGUGUUGAACUAGAU
RNAcentral lists this non-coding RNA (48 nucleotides) under Schistosoma mattheei. Lineage: Eukaryota; Metazoa; Platyhelminthes; Trematoda; Strigeidida; Schistosomatidae. The record is from RNAcentral.